This 2366-nucleotide ribosomal RNA is filed under the name Salmonella enterica. RNAcentral's name for it is "bacterial LSU rRNA". It matches the Rfam family "Bacterial large subunit ribosomal RNA", at positions 593 to 2925 of the family's 2925-position model. RNAcentral also lists the same sequence under 1 other name. The record is from RNAcentral. Lineage: Bacteria; Pseudomonadati; Pseudomonadota; Gammaproteobacteria; Enterobacterales; Enterobacteriaceae.
GUGACUGCGUACCUUUUGUAUAAUGGGUCAGCGACUUAUAUUCUGUAGCAAGGUUAACCGAAUAGGGGAGCCGGAGGGAAACCGAGUCUUAACCGGGCGUUAAGUUGCAGGGUAUAGACCCGAAACCCGGUGAUCUAGCCAUGGGCAGGUUGAAGGUUGGGUAACACUAACUGGAGGACCGAACCGACUAAUGUUGAAAAAUUAGCGGAUGACCUGUGGCUGGGGGUGAAAGGCCAAUCAAACCGGGAGAUAGCUGGUUCUCCCCGAAAGCUAUUUAGGUAGCGCCUCGUGAAUUCAUCUCCGGGGGUAGAGCACUGUUUCGGCUAGGGGGCCAUCCCGGCUUACCAACCCGAUGCAAACUGCGAAUACCGGAGAAUGUUAUCACGGGAGACACACGGCGGGUGCUAACGUCCGUCGUGAAGAGGGAAACAACCCAGACCGCCAGCUAAGGUCCCAAAGUCAUGGUUAAGUGGGAAACGAUGUGGGAAGGCCCAGACAGCCAGGAUGUUGGCUUAGAAGCAGCCAUCAUUUAAAGAAAGCGUAAUAGCUCACUGGUCGAGUCGGCCUGCGCGGAAGAUGUAACGGGGCUAAACCAUGCACCGAAGCUGCGGCAGCGACGCUGAUGCGUUGUUGGGUAGGGGAGCGUUCUGUAAGCCUGCGAAGGUGGCCUGUGAGGGUUGCUGGAGGUAUCAGAAGUGCGAAUGCUGACAUAAGUAACGAUAAAGCGGGUGAAAAGCCCGCUCGCCGGAAGACCAAGGGUUCCUGUCCAACGUUAAUCGGGGCAGGGUGAGUCGACCCCUAAGGCGAGGCCGAAAGGCGUAGUCGAUGGGAAACGGGUUAAUAUUCCCGUACUUGGUGUUACUGCGAAGGGGGGACGGAGAAGGCUAUGUUGGCCGGGCGACGGUUGUCCCGGUUUAAGCGUGUAGGUGUGUGUUCCAGGUAAAUCCGGUUCACUUUAACACUGAGGCGUGAUGACGAGGCACUACGGUGCUGAAGCAACAAAUGCCCUGCUUCCAGGAAAAGCCUCUAAGCAUCAGGUAACAUCAAAUCGUACCCCAAACCGACACAGGUGGUCAGGUAGAGAAUACCAAGGCGCUUGAGAGAACUCGGGUGAAGGAACUAGGCAAAAUGGUGCCGUAACUUCGGGAGAAGGCACGCUGACACGUAGGUGAAGUGAUUUACUCAUGGAGCUGAAGUCAGUCGAAGAUACCAGCUGGCUGCAACUGUUUAUUAAAAACACAGCACUGUGCAAACACGAAAGUGGACGUAUACGGUGUGACGCCUGCCCGGUGCCGGAAGGUUAAUUGAUGGGGUCAGCGCAAGCGAAGCUCCUGAUCGAAGCCCCGGUAAACGGCGGCCGUAACUAUAACGGUCCUAAGGUAGCGAAAUUCCUUGUCGGGUAAGUUCCGACCUGCACGAAUGGCGUAAUGAUGGCCAGGCUGUCUCCACCCGAGACUCAGUGAAAUUGAACUCGCUGUGAAGAUGCAGUGUACCCGCGGCAAGACGGAAAGACCCCGUGAACCUUUACUAUAGCUUGACACUGAACAUUGAGCCUUGAUGUGUAGGAUAGGUGGGAGGCUUUGAAGUGUGGACGCCAGUCUGCAUGGAGCCGGCCUUGAAAUACCACCCUUUAAUGUUUGAUGUUCUAACGUGGACCCGUGAUCCGGGUUGCGGACAGUGUCUGGUGGGUAGUUUGACUGGGGCGGUCUCCUCCUAAAGAGUAACGGAGGAGCACGAAGGUUGGCUAAUCCUGGUCGGACAUCAGGAGGUUAGUGCAAUGGCAUAAGCCAGCUUGACUGCGAGCGUGACGGCGCGAGCAGGUGCGAAAGCAGGUCAUAGUGAUCCGGUGGUUCUGAAUGGAAGGGCCAUCGCUCAACGGAUAAAAGGUACUCCGGGGAUAACAGGCUGAUACCGCCCAAGAGUUCAUAUCGACGGCGGUGUUUGGCACCUCGAUGUCGGCUCAUCACAUCCUGGGGCUGAAGUAGGUCCCAAGGGUAUGGCUGUUCGCCAUUUAAAGUGGUACGCGAGCUGGGUUUAGAACGUCGUGAGACAGUUCGGUCCCUAUCUGCCGUGGGCGCUGGAGAACUGAGGGGGGCUGCUCCUAGUACGAGAGGACCGGAGUGGACGCAUCACUGGUGUUCGGGUUGUCAUGCCAAUGGCACUGCCCGGUAGCUAAAUGCGGAAGAGAUAAGUGCUGAAAGCAUCUAAGCACGAAACUUGCCCCGAGAUGAGUUCUCCCUGAGACUUAGAGUCUCCUGAAGGAACGUUGAAGACGACGACGUUGAUAGGCCGGGUGUGUAAGCGCAGCGAUGCGUUGAGCUAACCGGUACUAAUGAACCGUGAGGCUUAACCUUACAACGCCGAAG